GGGGAUAUAGCUCAGUGGUAGAGCAUUCGACUGCAGAUCGCGAGGUCUCUGGUUCGAACCCGGGUGUCCCCU
Molecule: transfer RNA, 72 nt
Filed under: Saccoglossus kowalevskii
Lineage: Eukaryota; Metazoa; Hemichordata; Enteropneusta; Harrimaniidae
Description: tRNA-Cys
Rfam family: tRNA
About the family: Transfer RNA (tRNA) molecules are approximately 80 nucleotides in length. Their secondary structure includes four short double-helical elements and three loops (D, anti-codon, and T loops).
Source: RNAcentral